GGAAAGUGCCACAGAAAGCAAACCGCCACGAUCCGUCGUGGUAAGGGUGAAAGGGUGGGGUAAGAGCCCACCGCGCGACUGGCAACAGGAGCGGCACGGUAAACCCCACCGGGAGCAAGACCGAAUAGGGACGGUGCGAGGGGAAACCCUCGAGGGCUGUUUCCGGCUCACCGUCCGGGUAGGUUGCGUGAGGUGCAUGGCAACAUGCGCCCAAGAUGAAUGGCCGCCACGUUCUCGCGCCGCAAGGGGCGAGGCCAUACAGAACCCGGCUUACAGGCCAGCUGGCAAU
Molecule: RNase P RNA, 289 nt
Filed under: Mesorhizobium sp.
Lineage: Bacteria; Pseudomonadati; Pseudomonadota; Alphaproteobacteria; Hyphomicrobiales; Phyllobacteriaceae
Description: partial RNase P RNA component class A
Rfam family: Bacterial RNase P class A
About the family: Ribonuclease P (RNase P) is a ubiquitous endoribonuclease, found in archaea, bacteria and eukarya as well as chloroplasts and mitochondria.
Source: RNAcentral